GGGGGAUUAGCUCAAUGGUUAGAGCAGAGCGCUCAUAACGCUUUGGCUGGGGGUUCGAAUCCCUCAUCCCCUA
Molecule: transfer RNA, 73 nt
Filed under: Parasedimentitalea psychrophila
Lineage: Bacteria; Pseudomonadati; Pseudomonadota; Alphaproteobacteria; Rhodobacterales; Paracoccaceae
Description: Parasedimentitalea sp. QS115 tRNA-Ile
Rfam family: tRNA
About the family: Transfer RNA (tRNA) molecules are approximately 80 nucleotides in length. Their secondary structure includes four short double-helical elements and three loops (D, anti-codon, and T loops). Further hydrogen bonds mediate the characteristic L-shaped molecular structure. tRNAs have two regions of fundamental functional importance: the anti-codon, which is responsible for specific mRNA codon recognition, and the 3' end, to which the tRNAs corresponding amino acid is attached (by aminoacyl-tRNA synthetases). tRNAs cope with the degeneracy of the genetic code in two manners: having more than one tRNA (with a specific anti-codon) for a particular amino acid; and 'wobble' base-pairing, i.e. permitting non-standard base-pairing at the 3rd anti-codon position.
Source: RNAcentral